UACGUAGGGUGCGAGCGUUGUCCGGAAUUAUUGGGCGUAAAGGGCUCGUAGGCGGUUUGUCGCGUCGGGAGUGAAAUCCACUGGCUUAACUGGUGGCUUGCUUUCGAUACGGGCAGACUGGAGGUAUGCAGGGGAGAACGGAAUUCCUGGUGUAGCGGUGAAAUGCGUAGAUAUCGGAAGGAACAUCAGUGGCGAAAGCGGCUUCCUGGACCAGCACCGACGUUCAGGCACGAAAGCGUGGGGAGCAAACAGG
RNAcentral lists this ribosomal RNA (253 nucleotides) under uncultured bacterium. RNAcentral describes it as "partial 16S ribosomal RNA". It matches the Rfam family "Bacterial small subunit ribosomal RNA", at positions 524 to 776 of the family's 1533-position model. The record is from RNAcentral.